GAUGAACGCUGGCGGCGUGCCUAAUACAUGCAAGUCGAGCGAACAGACGAGGAGCUUGCUCCUCUGACGUUAGCGGCGGACGGGUGAGUAACACGUGGAUAACCUACCUAUAAGACUGGGAUAACUUCGGGAAACCGGAGCUAAUGCCGGAUAAUAUAUUGAACCGCAUGGUUCAAUAGUGAAAGACGGUUUUGCUGUCACUUAUAGAUGGAUCCGCGCCGCAUUAGCUAGUUGGUAAGGUAACGGCUUACCAAGGCAACGAUGCGUAGCCGACCUGAGAGGGUGAUCGGCCACACUGGAACUGAGACACGGUCCAGACUCCUGCGGGAGGCAGCAGUAGGGAAUCUUCCGCAAUGGGCGAAAGCCUGACGGAGCAACGCCGCGUGAGUGAUGAAGGUCUUCGGAUCGUAAAACUCUGUUAUUAGGGAAGAACAAAUGUGUAAGUAACUAUGCACGUCUUGACGGUACCUAAUCAGAAAGCCACGGCUAACUACGUG
Molecule: ribosomal RNA, 497 nt
Filed under: uncultured bacterium
Lineage: Bacteria
Description: partial 16S ribosomal RNA
Rfam family: Bacterial small subunit ribosomal RNA
Source: RNAcentral